AAGUCGUAACAAGGUUUCCGUAGGUGAACCUGCGGAAGGAUCAUUAACACGUAUACACGUUUUAAUUAACACUUAUCAACAAUUCUACGAACUUGAUCUCCCUGCUGAAUAUAACUGCGGUGUCGUACUCCUGUCGUGGUGGGUCCCAGUAAACAUGUAGUUGUUCGAGACUUGUGUUAAGCUGAAGGCUGGCAGGCAUCGACUAUUCACACUUCGACUGUGAGCCAAAACACAUUCAGCAGGCUUACUGACUCUAUUCUCGCGUGGAGUUACUCCAAUCCUUACCAUCAUAAGGCCGAGUUUAGAACCCCAUACCAAUUUCACCCUAUUUUACCUAUUUGACUAAUUAACUGAUUCUUAGGAGAAAUCCUUUGAAUUACUAAGAUUUAUCUUAACUAAGCACAACUCUUAGCAAUGGAUAUCUUGGUUCUC
This 432-nucleotide unclassified non-coding RNA is filed under the name fungal sp. Its description in RNAcentral is "partial internal transcribed spacer region". The stretch from base 1 to 46 matches the Rfam family "Eukaryotic small subunit ribosomal RNA", at positions 1786 to 1831 of the family's 1831-position model. Lineage: Eukaryota; Fungi. The record is from RNAcentral.